AAGUCGAGCGAGCUGAAUUCAAAGAUCCCUUCGGGGUGAUUUGUUGGACGCUAGCGGCGGAUGGGUGAGUAACACGUGGGCAAUCUGCCCUAAAGACUGGGAUACCACUUGGAAACAGGUGCUAAUACCGGAUAACAACAUGAAUCGCAUGAUUCAAGUUUGAAAGGCGGCGUAAGCUGUCACUUUAGGAUGAGCCCGCGGCGCAUUAGCUAGUUGGUGGGGUAAAGGCCUACCAAGGCAAUGAUGCGUAGCCGAGUUGAGAGACUGAUCGGCCACAUUGGGACUGAGACACGGCCCAAACUCCUACGGGAGGCAGCAGUAGGGAAUCUUCCACAAUGGACGCAAGUCUGAUGGAGCAACGCCGCGUGAGUGAAGAAGGUUUUCGGAUCGUAAAGCUCUGUUGUUGGUGAAGAAGGAUAGAGGCAGUAACUGGUCUUUAUUUGACGGUAAUCAACCAGAAAGUCACGGCUAACUACGUGCCAGCAGCCGCGGUAAUACGUAGGUGGCAAGCGUUGUCCGGAUUUAUUGGGCGUAAAGCGAGCGCAGGCGGAAUGAUAAGUCUGAUGUGAAAGCCCACGGCUCAACCGUGGAACUGCAUCGGAAACUGUCAUUCUUGAGUGCAGAAGAGGAGAGUGGAAUUCCAUGUGUAGCGGUGGAAUGCGUAGAUAUAUGGAAGAACACCAGUGGCGAAGGCGGCUCUCUGGUCUGCAACUGACGCUGAGGCUCGAAAGCAUGGGUAGCGAACAGGAUUAGAUACCCUGGUAGUCCAUGCCGUAAACGAUGAGCGCUAGGUGUUGGGGACUUUCCGGUUCUCAGUGCCGCAGCAAACGCAUUAAGCGCUCCGCCUGGGGAGUACGACCGCAAGGUUGAAACUCAAAGGAAUUGACGGGGGCCCGCACAA
RNAcentral lists this ribosomal RNA (901 nucleotides) under Lactobacillus delbrueckii subsp. bulgaricus. RNAcentral describes it as "bacterial SSU rRNA". It matches the Rfam family "Bacterial small subunit ribosomal RNA", at positions 59 to 928 of the family's 1533-position model. Lineage: Bacteria; Bacillati; Bacillota; Bacilli; Lactobacillales; Lactobacillaceae. The record is from RNAcentral.